This is a ribosomal RNA of Cricetulus griseus (Chinese hamster), 113 nucleotides long. The record is from Ensembl. Lineage: Eukaryota; Metazoa; Chordata; Mammalia; Rodentia; Cricetidae.
UCUGAGGCCAUACCACUCUGAAUGCACCCUAUCUUCUCUUAUCUUGGAUGCUAAGCAGAUCUGGCCUGGUUAGUACUUGGAUGGGAGGCAGUGGAUUGUGAGUGCAUUCACCA